Molecule: long non-coding RNA, 4668 nt
Filed under: Canis lupus familiaris (dog)
Lineage: Eukaryota; Metazoa; Chordata; Mammalia; Carnivora; Canidae
Description: lncRNA (ENSCAFG00030017012.1)
Source: RNAcentral
AUGCAUAGGCAUGAAGAGUGGGUUCUGACCAAGGAUAAAGGAAGACUACGGAGCGGAAGCAGCACUGAGCUGAUGUCUCUGUGGGAUUUUGGAGACGGAAGAAAAGGAAGCAGGGGUGAGUUCAACACACGGUGCCUAAGGCAGCUUAGCCUGGAUUUUAUUGAAAACCCUUGUGUGGGGCUCCCGACAAUCAGAGUCACUCAAGUUUUUCUUUCCACACUCCCCUGGCCUGAGCUCCAUUUAAUCAGAACACAUGCUUAUCUCUCGACCCACCUUUCUGUAUGUUUUACUAAUCUUAUAAAUAGACUCUUAAGAAAAUAACAAAAUGAACUUUCCAAUUUGUAAUCAAAAAACCCCAUGCAUCUCCGUGCACCUGCACCAGUGCUUUCUUGUGGGGGCAGUUCUUGCGGCCCAGCAGCAGGGGGCUAAAAGCCAACCUUCAGGAGGUGAAGGUGGUCCUUUCACUGGCACCUAAGCUUUUCCCUGACUUUUUCUUCACGUUUAGGCUGAGUUUGUGCGCGCUGGUGUCUAUUGCCUUUGGGUGGGUGACGUAGUGUGACCCAUGCCCACGAGGUGGCGACAAACGACCUCCUGGCCGGAGGACUGGAUGGAUGCAAAGAGGUGGGUGAAAUGGGUUUGCUUUCUGUCCUAACCCGAAGGAUAACCACUUACUGGAUGCUGACCACGUGGCAGGCACGCCCAGAAGUGCUGUUUAUACAUUAACUUACUGAUUUAUCUUUGCAGCAAUCCCUUGAGUCUUACAAAAGAUAAGGAACUGGUUUGCCCCAGGUCACAUACUUGGUGGUUGGCAGAGCUGACAUUUGACCUCCUCUCUGACUGAGGACAUGGGCUGUGAUCUUAUGUACUACACUCUCCUGGACCCUAAAGGAAAUACCCUAUUAAUUCGGGGAAGAAGUUGAAUGGCCCAAACUAUGUCUCACCCUCACUGAGGUCUGUAGCUCCCUUCAUCCUUCACUGUCAUAAAAUAAAGGAGUCCAGAAAGACCAGGGACUUAGAAUCCGAGAGUUAGAAAAGUCUUGACCAUCUACUCCAGGCACCCAUUCAGUAUAGGACUUUUUCAGGCACAGGCCCGAAGGAGGAUAAGAUAGUCUCUGCUGGAUCUCUUCUGGGGCCAGGAUGUCAAAUGAAGAUGGCAUGGUUCCCUCUCUAUCUUCCCAUGGUCACCUUCCUCUCCAAGAAGGGAAAUUCAGAAGAAUGAGACCAGAAGGAAGAUUCAUAGCCCCUGUUCAUCAAAGCAUUUGUCGGGAACACUGUGGAUGUGAUGCUUGUAUGUGUCAAUAUGAUUGGGCCACAGGGUGUCCAGGCGUUUGGUUGAGUCUUAUUCUGGGUAGGAUGUUUCUGGGGCAAGGUUAACCUUUGAAUUGGUGGACUGAGUAAAACAGACGGCUUUUCCCAGUGCAGAUGGGCCUCAUCUGAAGCAUUCAGAUGGGAAGACCUGAAAAGAACAAAAAAAGGCUGAUCUCUUGCAAGUAGGAGAAAGCUCCUCCUGCCUGACCACUCUAGAGCUGCAACAUAGGUUUUUCCAUUUCUUCAAACUCAAGCUGAAACAUAGGAUCCCCCCAGAGCUUAAGCCUGCUGGCUUCAGACUGGAACUACAUUUGACCCUUGAAUAACAAAGGGGACACUGGCCUCCUACACAGGCGAAAACUCAUGUAUGACUUUUGAUUCCCCAAAACUUAACUAUUAAUAGCCUACUGUUUACCAGGAGACACAUUUUGUCAACCCAAAUUUUAACAGUCAACACGCAUCUUGUAUGUUAUAGACUAUAUUCUCACAACAAAGUAAGCUAUAGAAAAGAAAAUGUUACUAAGAGAAUUAUCAGGAAGAGAAAAUGCAUUUACAGUAGGAUACUGUAUUUAUUGGAAAAAAAAUCCAUAUGUACGUGAACCCGUGCAGUUCCAACCUGCGUUACUUAAGAGUCAACUCUAUACUAUCGAGUAUUGACUACUGAGCCCACUCUUGUGGGUUUUGAGCUUGCCCACUGAAGAUCUUGGGACUUGGCCCCCAUGAUGGCAUAACCACGUGAGCCAACUCCUUGUAACAAAUAUAAGAGACACUACAUGCAUCCAUAUAGGCACAUACAUACCUAUAUGGGCCAAUGUGCAAACAUCACCUAGAAUGCUACAUUCUAAAUUCGAAUUUUUUUUUUCAAUAUCUGUAUCUGCCUGUCUUCUGUUAGUUCUGUUUUGAGUCAGCGAGAGCAACUGGACAGCAGACCAAUGCAAAGAUUCGGUCAUUCGGUCAAUAAACAUUUCCUAGGGGGACGACAGAGAGCCUCCUAGGAGAAGCUUAGCCGCAGAAACAGUAGUGACUUCUCUGGCACAGCUCAGUGUAUUCGAACAGGAAAGGAGAGUGGAAUGCAGAUUUCCAGGAAAGGACGUCCUUGGGAUGGACCGUAUACAGCUUUGCCUUCUUGAUGGACAGGCCAGCUUUGGGGGCCUCCCUUAGUUUAAAAGAUGACCCCUGAAGAACAGAAGGGUCUCUUGGCGUGGGUGUAAUAUUCUUUUAGAGGUAGUUACCCAAACCUGGUAACUACCACCUGACUGAGGAGCUGCAAAUGUGAAUGUUGAACAUCUGAGCCAGAGAUGGUUCCUUUCUGCCCUCCCCAUAUCCUCUCUUCCCCUAAUUCUUGACCCUCCACUCUCAUUUCUUGCCUGUCAUGGGGGAGUUUGUAGCAUCUUGUGGCUUUGGCUGACACCUCUCAGGAGGAAACUAGACUGUCACCUUCGUGCAGUACCUAGCAGGCCAACCAUCAUCUAGAUUUCUACAUUUUAAAAUCAAACACUUUUGUUUUAACCAUUAAAGUGGCCGCUGGCCGCCACACACCCCCAAACCAGGUUUCUGUCUGGGGUGCCCCCCACUCCCGGGGACCUCUGGGCUGAUGGGCUCCACAGUCUGAAAUCCCCUCCGGUGCACCUCCCCUGCUUCAUCAGUUGCUACCAAGGCCUGCUUCCAAACGUCUGUCAGAUUCACCCUUAUCUUUGGUUUGUGCUGUUGGGGUGUUUAACACUGCACACCUGGGUGCCUUCAAUGGCCUCCUGGGGGGCUCCCUGUUCCUCACUGUGCAGCUCAAAUAGUUCUGGUCAAAUGCCCCUUGAACCUCACCUCUCUCCUGCUCCAGACCCUACACAUGCUUCUCAGGGUCUCCCCCUGCUCGGGGACACACCCCUCGGCCUGGCUUGCAGGUGAUGCCCCCUGUGUGCUUACUCACUCCUUUCUCCCUUCAUUUCCAGCCUCUGCCCAUCCUCCAGGGCUUCCCUGUGAUGUGUGUGAGGAGCAUUCCAGAAGCCCGGGUGCGGGACUGGCCAGUGUUUUCUGCCUUCCACGUUCCGCAUCCUGCCUGCUGCCCACCCCCUCUGUAGCCCACCAAACCCCUCGGAUGCCUCAUCUACAUUCUGAUCCCAUUUUUGUCUAAUUUAAAAUUUAAUUACUCAAGUGAUACCAUCUCCAUAGCCUUUAAAGACAAAAUUUCGUAGACAACACUUAGGCCCCCUUAGACGACUCUCCCUUGUCCAGAGGCAGCAUGGUGCAGUGGUUGAGGUGUGUAUUUCCAGAUGUUUCUCGAUGUUUUUAUACACAUAUAUGUGCCCGUAGAGAAUACAUGGCAUUUUCGCUGCAUGUGGCCAUUUUUCACAUAAAUGGCAUCUUACAUUUAUUUAUAUUUUGUAAAAUUCCUGGAGAUCUAUCCCUGUGAGCCCACCUGGAUGAGCCUCACUCUGGUUAAUGGUGGCUACUUUUCUGUAGUAUGAAUCCAUCACUGUUUAUUUGACUGCUGCCCUUUGCACAGGCGCUAGAUUGUUCCAGGGUUGAGGUUUACAAACGCUGUUUACUGAACAACUGGAGGGCACGUCCUUAUGCACGUGCGUGAAUUGCUUCCACUGGUGGCAUUUUCUUGUCAGAAUCACGCAGUAAGAUUACGAUGGGAGCUGUGGUCACUCCAGAGAUUCUCAAGCACCAGCCCCUGAGAGGCAUUUGCACAACAAACUUGGAGCUCCGUAGUCUCAUUCCCAUUUUAGGGGUGAGAAAACUGAGGUUUAAAGAGGCGCAGUGGGUCAGCCUUGAAAUCCCAUCCCACUUAAUGUUCUUCCUCCUACCAGUCCCUUGUGCCGAGUCCUUUCCUUCCAGCUCUGCUGUGAAUUUCGUGACAGCGGGAACUACUCGCCUAUUCCCUUUCAUUCUCCACUAUGUCCUGGAUACACAAUAAAUCUCAAUAAAACUUGAUUGAUUAUUUGGAAGACAAAUUAGCGCUAUCAUCUUAACUAGCAGGAUAUUUUAUUUAGGUAUUUUAGCAACAAUAAGAAGAUACCAGCAUCAUAGAGUAGCUGGUUAAAAUAUUAUUAGAAGUUAAUUCAUAUUUUAGCAGAUAAUUCCUAAUUAAUUCGCUGUAGUUAUCUUGUUAAACGUCAAUUAAAUCUCUCCACAUCCCUUACAGGUUUCUGCUAUUCAUAAAAUGUAAUUAUACAGCUAUUGCCCACGUAUUCUUUAUUGCUUAUAUAAUCUACUAGUUAAAUACAAGUCAAAAAGAUUUAUCUUCCAAGUUCUUAAUAACAUCACUAAAUGUCCUAAUUAAUAAUCAAUAAUCCAUUUGCAUAAUUAAUUGGGGAAAGAGUCCUAAUGAGAUGGUGCCUUGCAGCAAGCCAGGCCGAG